UACGUAGGGGGCAAGCGUUGUCCGGAAUCAUUGGGCGUAAAGCGCGUGUAGGCGGCCCGGUAAGUCCGCUGUGAAAGUCGGGGGCUCAACCCUCGAAUGCCGGUGGAUACUGUCGGGCUAGAGUGCGGGAGAGGCGAGUGGAAUUCCUGGUGUAGCGGUGAAAUGCGCAGAUAUCAGGAGGAACACCGAUUGCGAAGGCAGCUCGCUGGAACGUAACUGACGCUGAGACGCGAAAGCGUGGGGAGCAAACAGG
This 253-nucleotide ribosomal RNA is filed under the name uncultured bacterium. RNAcentral describes it as "partial 16S ribosomal RNA". It matches the Rfam family "Bacterial small subunit ribosomal RNA", at positions 524 to 776 of the family's 1533-position model. The record is from RNAcentral.